AGCAUAUCAAUAAGCGGAGGAAAAGAAACCAACAGGGAUUGCCUUAGUAGCGGCGAGCGAAGCGGCAACAGCUCAAAUUUGAAAUCUGGCUACUUUGUAGUCCGAGUUGUAAUUUGCAGAGGAUGCUUUUGGUGAGGUGCCUUCCGAGUUCCCUGGAACGGGACGCCAGAGAGGGUGAGAGCCCCGUACGGUUGGACACCAAACCUUUGUAUAGCUCCUUCAACGAGUCGAGUAGUUUGGGAAUGCUGCUCUAAAUGGGAGGUAUAUCUCUUCUAAAGCUAAAUACCGGCUAGAGACCGAUAGCGCACAAGUAGAGUGAUCGAAAGAUGAAAAGCACUUUGAAAAGAGAGUUAAACAGCACGUGAAAUUGUUGAAAGGGAAGCGCCUAUGACCAGACUUGUUUCUGUCAGUUUUGCUUGUUUUCGGACUUGUUUACUCUGUCAGUACAGGCCAACAUCAGUUUGUUGUUUGGGAGAAAGGCUUAGGGAAUGUGGCUCCCUCGGGAGUGUUAUAGCCCUUUGCAUAAUACCAUUCGGCAGACUGAGGACCGCGCUUCGGCAAGGAUGUUGGCGUAAUGGUCAUCAGCGACCCGUCUUGAAACACGGACCAAGGAGUCAACCUUAUGUGCGAGUGUUUGGGUGUAAAACCCCAGCGCGUAAUGAACGUGAACGUAGGUGAGAGCUUCGGCGCAUCAUCGACCGAUUCUGAUGUUCUCGGAUGGAUUUGAGUAAGAGCAUAUAGGGUKGGACCCGAAAGAAGGUGAACUAUGCUUGUAUAGGGUGAAGCCAGAGGAAACUCUGGUGGAGGCUCGCAGCGGUUCUGACGUGCAAAUCGAUCGUCAAAUAUGAGCAUGGGGGCGAAAGACUAAUCGAACCUUCUAGUAGCUGGUUCCAGCC
This 896-nucleotide ribosomal RNA is filed under the name Endoconidiophora polonica. Its description in RNAcentral is "LSU rRNA". It matches the Rfam family "Eukaryotic large subunit ribosomal RNA", at positions 37 to 962 of the family's 3401-position model. The record is from RNAcentral. Lineage: Eukaryota; Fungi; Ascomycota; Sordariomycetes; Microascales; Ceratocystidaceae.